UUUUUUAANCUUAUUUAUUUUGGCGGCAAUUUAUCUUAUUAGAGGAACUUGUUUAUUAAUCGAUAAUCCUCGUUUAUUUUCACUAAUUUUAAAAGUUUAUAUACCGUCAUCUUAAGAGUUAACUUAUAUAAAGUUACUCAAAAUAAUUUUUAUAAAAAGAUAGAUCAAGGUGUAACAGAAAUUUUUGUAAAAAUGAGUUACAAUAAAUAUAUUUAAGAAUUAUUUUUAUAAAUUUAAUAUGAAAGAGGAUUUAAAUGUAAUAAAAUAAUAAAAAUUCUAUAUGAAUAAGAUAACAA
RNAcentral lists this ribosomal RNA (296 nucleotides) under Ctenus calcaratus. RNAcentral describes it as "partial small subunit ribosomal RNA". Lineage: Eukaryota; Metazoa; Arthropoda; Arachnida; Araneae; Ctenidae. The record is from RNAcentral.